Molecule: small nuclear RNA, 108 nt
Organism: Ursus americanus (American black bear)
Lineage: Eukaryota; Metazoa; Chordata; Mammalia; Carnivora; Ursidae
Source: Ensembl
GUGCUCCCUUCAGGAGCACAUAUACUAAAAUUGGAGUGAUACAGAGAAGAUUAGCAUGGCCUCUGCUCAAGGAGAAAAAGGACAUGGUGAGUGAAAGAAUCAGUUAUU